GAUGAACGCUGGCGGCGUGCCUAAUACAUGCAAGUCGAGCGAACGGACGAGAAGCUUGCUUCUCUGAUGUUAGCGGCGGACGGGUGAGUAACACGUGGAUAACCUACCUAUAAGACUGGGAUAACUUCGGGAAACCGGAGCUAAUACCGGAUAAUAUUUUGAACCGCAUGGUUCAAAAGUGAAAGACGGUCUUGCUGUCACUUAUAGAUGGAUCCGCGCUGCAUUAGCUAGUUGGUAAGGUAACGGCUUACCAGGGCAACGAUGCAUAGCCGACCUGAGAGGGUGAUCGGCCACACUGGAACUGAGACACGGUCCAGACUCCUGCGGGAGGCAGCAGUAGGGAAUCUUCCGCAAUGGGCGAAAGCCUGACGGAGCAACGCCGCGUGAGUGAUGAAGGUCUUCGGAUCGUAAAACUCUGUUAUUAGGGAAGAACAUAUGUGUAAGUAACUGUGCACAUCUUGACGGUACCUAAUCAGAAAGCCACGGCUAACUACGUG
Molecule: ribosomal RNA, 497 nt
Filed under: uncultured bacterium
Lineage: Bacteria
Description: partial 16S ribosomal RNA
Rfam family: Bacterial small subunit ribosomal RNA
Source: RNAcentral